This 433-nucleotide ribosomal RNA is filed under the name uncultured bacterium. RNAcentral's name for it is "partial 16S ribosomal RNA". It matches the Rfam family "Bacterial small subunit ribosomal RNA", at positions 29 to 507 of the family's 1533-position model. The record is from RNAcentral.
AACGAACGCUGGCGGCAUGCCUAACACAUGCAAGUCGAACGAGACCUUCGGGUCUAGCGGCGCACGGGUGCGUAACGCGUGGGAACCUGCCCUUAGGUUCGGAAUAACUCCCCGAAAGGGGUGGUAAUACCGGAUACUGUCUUCGGAGCAAAGAUUUAUCGCCUUUGGAUGAGCCCGCGUUGGAUUAGGUAGUUGGUAGGGUAAAAGCCUACCAAGGCGACGAUCCAUAGCUGGUCUGAGAGGAUGAUCAGCCACACUGGGACUGAGACACGGCCCAGACUCCUACGGGAGGCAGCAGUGGGGAAUAUUGGACAAUGGGCGCAAGCCUGAUCCAGCAAUGCCGCGUGAGUGAUGAAGGCCUUAGGGUUGUAAAGCUCUUUUACCCGGGAUGAUAAUGACAGUACCGGGAGAAGAAGCCCCGGCUAACUCCGUG